RNAcentral lists this ribosomal RNA (433 nucleotides) under uncultured bacterium. RNAcentral describes it as "partial 16S ribosomal RNA". It matches the Rfam family "Bacterial small subunit ribosomal RNA", at positions 29 to 507 of the family's 1533-position model. The record is from RNAcentral.
AACGAACGCUGGCGGCAGGCCUAACACAUGCAAGUCGAGCGAGCAUUUCGGUGCUAGCGGCGGACGGGUGAGUAACGCGUGGGAACGUGCCCUUUUCUGCGGAAUAGUCCUGGGAAACUGGGGGUAAUACCGCAUACGCCCUUUUGGGGAAAGAUUUAUCGGAGUAGGAUCGGCCCGCGUUGGAUUAGGUUGUUGGUUGGGUAAUGGCCCACCAAGCCGACGAUCCAUAGCUGGUUUGAGAGGAUGAUCAGCCACACUGGGACUGAGACACGGCCCAGACUCCUACGGGAGGCAGCAGUGGGGAAUCUUAGACAAUGGGGGCAACCAUGAACGAGCCAGGACGGGUGAGUGAUGAAGGCAGUAGAGUUGUAAAGCGCUUUCAGCUGGGAAGAUAAUGACGGUACCAGCAGAAGAAGCCACGGCUAACUCCGUG